Molecule: long non-coding RNA, 752 nt
Filed under: Homo sapiens (human)
Lineage: Eukaryota; Metazoa; Chordata; Mammalia; Primates; Hominidae
Description: HSALNT0217167
Source: RNAcentral
GUGGAGCAGCCACCAACCUCACCCACUCAAGGAAGUAGGGAUGGCCAGGUUCCCACAGCCUGCAUGGCUGCAUCCUGAUGGCUGAUGGAGCAGAGGCCUGAGGAAAAGCAGAUGGCAUUGGGGCUCUACCUCUUGGGUAGAAGAAGUGAUGUACACCGACCAGCUGUGAGUGAGGUUGGUGGCUGGUCCACCUGCUCCUGGCACACCCUUGCAGAGGUGGCUGGUUUCUCUUUGCGCCAGCUUGGCCUUGCCCAGCAUGCACAAGCCUCAGUACAACAGCUGUGCUACAAAUGGAACCACACAGAGAAAACAGAGCAGCAGGCUCAGGAGCAGGGUGUGUGCUGCAUUUGGGGCUCCAGUCAAUGCCUCCGGGCUAGUAUGGCUCUGUGGGCUUCUUGGUUGCAAAGAGGCAGACCACAGGCCAUCUUGAGGAGGACUUUAUGUUCAAGUGCAGAAAGCAGCCAGGAUUACCACCCAGGGGACUCUGCCUUCUGUGGCCCUGACCGGACUUAGAAUUUGGCCUAACUCAGGACAAGCACACUCAGAGCAGCGUGUCAGUAGCUGGAGCCUGUGCAUGAAAGGCAUGGCCAAGCUGUCUCAAAGAGCAACCAGCCACCUCUGCAAGGGUGCUCCAGGAGCAGGUGGAGCAGCCACCAACAUCACCCACUCAAGGAAGCAGGGAUGGCCAGAUUCCAACAACCUGAGUGGCUGCCUCCUGAUGGCUGAUGGAGCAGAGGCCUGAGGAAAAGCAG